CAGGACGAACGCUGGCGGCGUGCCUAACACAUGCAAGUCGAGCGGGGACAUAAGGAACAGAGACUCGGUCAAAGGGAAUUAUGUCUAGCGGCGGACGGGUGAGUAACGCGUGAGCAAUCUGUCCCAUACAGGGGGAUAACACUUGGAAACAGGUGCUAAUACCGCAUAAGACCACGCCUCGGCAUCGAGGAGGGGUAAAAGGAGCGAUCCGGUGUGGGGUGAGUUCGCGUCCGAUUAGCUAGUUGGCGAGGUAACGGCCCACCAAGGCGACGAUCGGUAGCCGACCUGAGAGGGUGAUCGGCCACAUUGGAACUGAGAGACGGUCCAAACUCCUACGGGAGGCAGCAGUGGGGAAUAUUGGGCAAUGGGCGAAAGCCCUGACCCAGCAACGCCGCGUGAGGGAAGAAGGUUUUCGGAUUGUAAACCUCUGUCCUUGGUGACGAAGGAAGUGACGGUAGCCAAGGAGGAAGCCCCGGCUAACUACGUGCCAGCCGCAGC
RNAcentral lists this ribosomal RNA (498 nucleotides) under uncultured bacterium. RNAcentral describes it as "bacterial SSU rRNA". It matches the Rfam family "Bacterial small subunit ribosomal RNA", at positions 25 to 518 of the family's 1533-position model. The record is from RNAcentral.